CUCUCAUAUUAAUAGAAAAAACAAACAGAUGAUUUAUGCAUUGAAAUGUUAUAUAUAAAUGUUGACUGUUCUAUUACACCCAUGGAGGUAAGAACCUGACUUCGCCUGCUAAUACUUUCCUCGCAUUUCUUCUCGCGCAGACGAGUCUACACGCGCUCUCGCAUUUGUUGUGCGGGAAAAUCUGGAUUUUUGUGCAUUCCCAAUAGCAUUCUACUGUGCAAUGUGCAUUUUUAUUUCCCUCAUCUCCUUCUGCCAUGGCCUUCAGAGCCAAUGCACACAUUAAAAGGGCGACAAUCAGAAUCCUAUUAUUUGCGGCCAUUGCGGCGAAGAUAAUGAAGAAAAUGUAUUUUGAAUUGAUUAUAAUACACUGAUGGAAAAGGCCAAAUCUUCUCGACCAUUUAUAGAAGAUGAAAGGGUGUGUCAUUGAGUACUUGUAUCUGUUCAGAAAGAAUGCGUCUGUUCAUAAAUGACUCGUCAUUAAAUUUAUGUCUUUUUUGGAGACGGAGGAUGAAAGAAAGAUAUUUUUAAGUUUCACACAAUUUCUUAUUUUCUCUUGCGCCAACAAGAAUUUCCCUCUAA
This 579-nucleotide long non-coding RNA is filed under the name Olea europaea (common olive). RNAcentral describes it as "long non-coding RNA (OEUR_LNC015490)". The record is from RNAcentral. Lineage: Eukaryota; Viridiplantae; Streptophyta; Magnoliopsida; Lamiales; Oleaceae.